GAUGAACGCUAGCGGCAGGCUUAACACAUGCAAGUCGAGGGGCAGCAUGAACCGACCUUCGGAAGGUUGUAUGGCGACCGGCGCAAGGGUGCGUAACGCGUGAGCAACUUGCCCGUUUCUGGGGAAUAACCGGUGGAAACGCCGACUAAUACCCCAUAGCAUCAACUUAUGGCAUCCUUAGUUGAUUAAAGAAUUUCGGAAACGGAUAGGCUCGCGUGACAUUAGCUGGAUGGCGGGGUAACGGCCCACCAUGGCUACGAUGUCUAGGGGUUCUGAGAGGAAGGUCCCCCACACUGGAACUGAGACACGGUCCAG
RNAcentral lists this ribosomal RNA (315 nucleotides) under uncultured bacterium. RNAcentral's name for it is "bacterial SSU rRNA". It matches the Rfam family "Bacterial small subunit ribosomal RNA", at positions 28 to 334 of the family's 1533-position model. The record is from RNAcentral.